This 406-nucleotide ribosomal RNA is filed under the name uncultured bacterium. Its description in RNAcentral is "bacterial SSU rRNA". It matches the Rfam family "Bacterial small subunit ribosomal RNA", at positions 355 to 775 of the family's 1533-position model. The record is from RNAcentral.
UGGGGAAUAUUGGGCAAUGGGCGAAAGCCUGACCCAGCAACGCCGCGUGAGGGAAGAAGGUUUUCGGAUUGUAAACCUCUGUCCUUGGGGACGAAGAAAGUGACGGUACCCAAGGAGGAAGCCCCGGCUAACUACGUGCCAGCAGCCGCGGUAAUACGUAGGGGGCAAGCGUUGUCCGGAAUUACUGGGCGUAAAGGGUGCGUAGGCGGUUUGUUAAGUCAGAUGUGAAAUCCCCGGGCUUAACUCGGGUGUUGCAUUUGAAACUGGGGAACUAGAGUGCAGGAGAGGGAAGCGGAAUGCCUAGUGUAGCGGUGAAAUGCGUAGAUAUUAGGAGGAACACCAGUGGCGAAGGCGGCUUUCUGGACUGUAACUGACGCUGAGGCACGAAAGCGUGGGGAGCAAACAG